ACUCUUCGUGUUCCCUCAAAGGCUUCCAGUAUUCAGUAAGCUAAGUUACUUGAAUGCUGGAAGUUUUUGAAGGAAUUUGAAACUU
RNAcentral lists this microRNA precursor (85 nucleotides) under Phaseolus vulgaris (common bean). RNAcentral describes it as "MIR862_2 microRNA precursor family". It matches the Rfam family "MIR862_2 microRNA precursor family". Lineage: Eukaryota; Viridiplantae; Streptophyta; Magnoliopsida; Fabales; Fabaceae. The record is from Rfam by way of RNAcentral.